This 253-nucleotide ribosomal RNA is filed under the name uncultured bacterium. RNAcentral describes it as "partial 16S ribosomal RNA". It matches the Rfam family "Bacterial small subunit ribosomal RNA", at positions 524 to 776 of the family's 1533-position model. The record is from RNAcentral.
UACAGAGGUGGCAGGCGUUGUUCGGAAUUACUGGGCGUAAAGGGCGCGUAGGCGGCCCGUCAAGUCCCGUGUGAAAGCCCCCGGCUCAACCGGGGAACGGCGCGGGAAACUAGCAGGCUUGAGUUCGGGAGAGGGAAGCGGAAUUCCGGGUGUAGCGGUGAAAUGCGCAGAUAUCCGGAGGAACACCGGUGGCGAAGGCGGCUUCCUGGACCGACACUGACGCUGAGGCGCGAAAGCUAGGGGAGCAAACGGG